GCAGUCGAAACCAUUUAAUUUGAAAAAGGAAUGCGCCCGUUUUUCGCCGUUACAUGUUGCGUUGCAGCCUAAUUUUGGAUCGAGAAUUAAGUGCGACGAAGAUGGCCGUUGAACACGGUUCAGAUUUGGAUAACGACUUCGAAGGCAUUCGCAGGAGACCAAACAGAGAAAGAGAGGGAGACACAAAACCACCUGUCUCGGUGUCACACAUGAGGAGUUGAGGAGGAGAUGAAGUCAGUGAAUAUGACCUGGCCUGGGGGAGUUUCCAGAAGAAGGCCCAGAAUCGCUGGAUGCCAGGAGUGGAGAUCCUUCGUUGCUGCCCUACAUGAUAGGAGGCAUCGGGCAGUAGAUGCUGUAAUUUGAAACGGAAGGUGUCCUGCCAAUAAAUUUUCAUCCCACCUGAACUGCCUUGCCUGCCUGCACCCAGUCAUCUGUUCCUGAGCAUUUUCAUUUUCCUCUAUUUUUCAUCAUCGUUUGUUUCGGCCUGUAUGAAGUGAAUUUCACAUUGAUUGGUGGAGCUGCUAAGUUGGCAUUACAGGGCCACGCCGGGGUAUGAUCCUUUGGGUUGAACAUCAUGACUGCUAGUUGGUCGGCAAAGGUGAUGGGAUCGAUCAAUGUCACAUGGAGUAAGAUCGAUACCAAUCUGCUUUGCUACAUUUCGAACAAUCUCAUACGGAUACGGAUAUUAUUGCGCCAGGAGUACUGCUCGAUGUGGUCAAGCCUAUUUGACAAAGCAUUAUGGUGUUAGUCAUGUUAUCAGAAACCGAUUUUUCAAAAUCACGGAGUUGCUUCAAUUUAGUAUCGAUAGAUAUUUCAAGAACGUGUAGACUAGUGAGCUUUUCAUCAAGAAUUUCACACAAUUUAUUUUCGCGCUUAUCCAUGUCAUCAUUGAGUUUUUGUCUCUCGCGUUCCAUUGCCACGGCCACCGCUCUUUGAACGACUGUAUCAAUAUGAUCUAGGUAUGCUGGGCUUUGUUUAGAUCCAGUUAAUGAUGAAGCAGAGGAUUGUGUACAUGCGUUAGCCGAGUGCAAGCGGCCUCUUGAUCUGGUGGAUAUCUUAGACAUGUUAGAGAUUACGUAAUGAUAUAAUUGAAAAGUGGGAUGGGCUGUGCAUCUGCCAACUCACCAGUCAACCAAUUAGAGACGGCCUUCCAAAGUGACACAGCACGAAAAUAUCAAUAUGGGACUGGUCUAGUCAACACAUAGAUCCUGAAAAAACCAUGGAGACCGCAGAUGCAAAAUGACUUCCAUACAUAAAGAUAUGAUGCACAAUCUCCAGUGGGUUCAAAACACUGAACACAUGCUAUGCUGAUACACAGACUAUCAUAAGAACUUUAUCAAGCAAAGGAAAUCUGGUAUGAAAUCUCUCAGCUCACAUGAAAAGCCUACGUAGCUACAUGUAGGGAAGAAAAUGCGUAAUUGCUGAGAAAUUAGCAAAAUAAGCAUGUAAUUCUAUCAAAUGUCAGGUAUUUUUCGAAUCGAUUAUAAUACACUGUCCCACAUAUAUGCUUUUCUGUGUUUACAGCGAUCAUCAGAAUUAUCGAUUUUAAGUUUAAAAAUUCAUGAUUUUACAAAGAUACAAGUUUACAUUAAUGUACCAGAUGUAGAUUAUGUACAAUAUAUUGACAAUUAACUUUGAUUUUAUAGAUUUUCUCAAGAAAUAGUUGUUUGCUGCAACUACUGUCUUUUCCUUCUAAGUGAUAGUGUAAUACAACAGUUCCACAAACUAUUUUCAUCAGACUUAUUGAUGCAUGAUUCUUUCACCCAAAUGCAAGCUUCCAUAAAUCCUGAAAACUUUGCAACUCAGGUAUUUUUUUUUUUA
Lytechinus pictus (painted urchin) is the source of this 1821-nucleotide long non-coding RNA. RefSeq lists it as uncharacterized. NCBI's taxonomy places the organism in Eukaryota, Metazoa, Echinodermata, Echinoidea, Temnopleuroida, Toxopneustidae. The record is from RefSeq and is a predicted model, not a curated record. The transcript has 3 exons.